GAUGAACGCUAGCGACAGGCCUAACACAUGCAAGUCGAGGGGUAGCAGGAUGUAGCAAUACAUCGCUGACGACCGGCGCACGGGUGAGUAACGCGUAUGCAACCUACCUUCUACAGGGGGAUAGCCCGGAGAAAUCCGGAUUAAUACCCCAUAAAACAGGGACUCCGCAUGGAGAUAUUUGUUAAAGAUUAAUCGGUAGAAGAUGGGCAUGCGUUCCAUUAGCCAGUUGGUGAGGUAACGGCUCACCAAAGCAACGAUGGAUAGGGGAACUGAGAGGUUUAUCCCCCACACUGGAACUGAGACACGGACCGGACUCCUACGGGAGGCAGCAGUGAGGAAUAUUGGUCAAUGGGCGCGAGCCUGAACCAGCCAAGUCGCGUGAAGUAAGACUGCCUUAUGGGUUGUAAACUUCUUUUAUAUGAGAAUAAAAAGAGUUACGUGUAACUUAUUGCAAGUAUCAUAUGAAUAAGCAUCGGCUAACUCCGUGCCAGCCGCCGCCGUAA
RNAcentral lists this ribosomal RNA (503 nucleotides) under uncultured bacterium. RNAcentral describes it as "partial 16S ribosomal RNA". It matches the Rfam family "Bacterial small subunit ribosomal RNA", at positions 28 to 523 of the family's 1533-position model. The record is from RNAcentral.